RNAcentral lists this ribosomal RNA (448 nucleotides) under uncultured bacterium. RNAcentral describes it as "bacterial SSU rRNA". It matches the Rfam family "Bacterial small subunit ribosomal RNA", at positions 355 to 825 of the family's 1533-position model. The record is from RNAcentral.
UGGGGAAUAUUGCGCAAUGGGCGAAAGCCUGAUGCAGCAACGCCGCGUGCGGGAAGAAGGCCCUAGGGUUGUAAACCGCUUUCAGCAGGGAAGAAAAUGACGGUACCUGCAGAAGAAGGUGCGGCCAACUACGUGCCAGCAGCCGCGGUGACACGUAGGCACCAAGCGUUGUCCGGAUUUAUUGGGCGUAAAGAGCUCGUAGGCGGUUCAGUAAGUCGGGUGUGAAAACUCUGGGCUCAACCCAGAGACGCCACCCGAUACUGCUGUGACUUGAGUACGGUAGGGGAGUGGGGAAUUCCUGGUGUAGCGGUGAAAUGCGCAGAUAUCAGAAGGAACACCAGUGGCGAAGGCGCCACUCUGGGCCGUAACUGACGCUGAGGAGCGAAAGCGUGGGGAGCAAACAGGAUUAGAUACCCGUGUAGUCCCUGAGCGGGCUGGCAAGGCGCAU